RNAcentral lists this ribosomal RNA (464 nucleotides) under uncultured bacterium. RNAcentral describes it as "bacterial SSU rRNA". It matches the Rfam family "Bacterial small subunit ribosomal RNA", at positions 355 to 821 of the family's 1533-position model. The record is from RNAcentral.
UGAGGAAUAUUGGACAAUGGGCGCAAGCCUGAUCCAGCCAUGCCGCGUGCAGGAUGACGGUCCUAUGGAUUGUAAACUGCUUUUUGUACAGGAAGAAACAGUUCUACGUGUAGAACCUUGACGGUACUGUAAGAAUAAGGAUCGGCUAACUCCGUGCCAGCAGCCGCGGUAAUACGGAGGAUCCAAGCGUUAUCCGGAAUCAUUGGGUUUAAAGGGUCCGUAGGCGGUUAGAUAAGUCAGUGGUAAAAGCCCAUCGCUCAACGGUGGAACGGCCAUUGAUACUGUCUGACUUGAAUUAUUAGGAAGUAACUAGAAUAUGUAGUGUAGCGGUGAAAUGCUUAGAGAUUACAUGGAAUACCAAUUGCGAAGGCAGGUUACUACUAAUGGAUUGACGCUGAUGGACGAAAGCGUGGGUAGCGAACAGGAUUAGAUACCCUUGUAGUCCCUGAGCGGGCUGGCAAGGC